CACACACACACUGAGAUACACACUUACACUUUCAAAGGUAUGCGUGAGCAGGUCCUCAGAGAAACAGGUUCAUAUAACACCCUGAUCUGGGUACAGGUUAAUAUAACACCCUGAUCUGGGUACAGGUUAAUAUAACACUCUGAUCUGGGUACAGGUUAAUAUAACACCCUGAUCUGGGUACAGGUUAAUGUAACACCCUGAUCUGGGUACAGGUUAAUAUAACACCCUGAUCUGGGUACAGGUUAAUAUAACACCCUGAUCUGGGUACAGGUUAAUAUAACACCCUGAUCUGGGUACAGGUUAAUAAUACACCCUGAUCUGGGUACAGGUUAAUAUAACACCCUGAUCUGGGUACAGGUUAAUAUAACACCCUGAUCUGGGUACAGGUUAAUAUAACACCCUUAUCUGGGUACAGGUCAGAGAAACAGGUUAAUCUAACACUCUGAUCUGGGUACAGGUUAAUAUAACACCCUGAUCUGGGUACAGGUUAAUAUAACACCCUGAUCUGGGUACAGGUUAAUAUAACACCCUGAUCUGGGUACAGGUCAGAGAAACAGGUUAAUGUAACACCCUGAUCUGGGUACAGGCUAAUAUAACACCCUGAUCUGGGUACAGGUCAGAGAAACAGGUUAAUAUAACACUCUGAUCUGGGUACAGGUCAGAGAAACAGGUUAAUAUAACACCCUUAUCUGGGUACAGGUCAGAGAAACAGGUUAAUAUAACACCCUGAUCUGGGUACAGGUUAAUAUAACACCCUGAUCUGGGUACAGGUUAAUAAUACACCCUGAUCUGGGUACAGGUUAAUAUAACACCCUGAUCUGGGUACAGGUUAAUAUAACACCCUGAUCUGGGUACAGGUUAAUAUAACACCCUUAUCUGGGUACAGGUCAGAGAAACAGGUUAAUCUAACACUCUGAUCUGGGUACAGGUUAAUAUAACACCCUGAUCUGGGUACAGGUUAAUAUAACACCCUGAUCUGGGUACAGGUUAAUAUAACACCCUGAUCUGGGUACAGGUCAGAGAAACAGGUUAAUGUAACACCCUGAUCUGGGUACAGGCUAAUAUAACACCCUGAUCUGGGUACAGGUCAGAGAAACAGGUUAAUGUAACACCCUGAUCUGGGUACAGGUUAAUAUAACACUCUGAUCUGGGUACAGGUUAAUAUAACACUCUGAUCUGGGUACAGGUUAAUAUAUCACCCUGAUCUGGGUACAGGUUAAUAUAACA
This is a non-coding RNA of Oncorhynchus mykiss (rainbow trout), 1227 nucleotides long. The record is from RefSeq and is a predicted model, not a curated record. Lineage: Eukaryota; Metazoa; Chordata; Actinopteri; Salmoniformes; Salmonidae.